AUUGAACGCUGGCGGCAUGCCUUACACAUGCAAGUCGAACGGCAGCACGGAGCUUGCUCUGGUGGCGAGUGGCGAACGGGUGAGUAAUAUAUCGGAACGUACCCUAGAGUGGGGGAUAACGUAGCGAAAGUUACGCUAAUACCGCAUACGAUCUAAGGAUGAAAGUGGGGGAUCGCAAGACCUCAUGCUCGUGGAGCGGCCGAUAUCUGAUUAGCUAGUUGGUAGGGUAAAAGCCUACCAAGGCAUCGAUCAGUAGCUGGUCUGAGAGGACGACCAGCCACACUGGAACUGAGACACGGUCCAGACUCCUACGGGAGGCAGCAGUGGGGAAUUUUGGACAAUGGGCGAAAGCCUGAUCCAGCAAUGCCGCGUGAGUGAAGAAGGCCUUCGGGUUGUAAAGCUCUUUUGUCAGGGAAGAAACGGUGGGAGCUAAUAUCUCUUGCUAAUGACGGUACCUGAAGAAUAAGCACCGGCUAACUACGUGCCAGCAGCCGCGGUAAUACGUAGGGUGCAAGCGUUAAUCGGAAUUACUGGGCGUAAAGCGUGCGCAGGCGGUUUUGUAAGUCUGAUGUGAAAUCCCCGGGCUCAACCUGGGAAUUGCAUUGGAGACUGCAAGGCUAGAAUCUGGCAGAGGGGGGUAGAAUUCCACGUGUAGCAGUGAAAUGCGUAGAUAUGUGGAGGAACACCGAUGGCGAAGGCAGCCCCCUGGGUCAAGAUUGACGCUCAUGCACGAAAGCGUGGGGAGCAAACAGGAUUAGAUACCCUGGUAGUCCACGCCCUAAACGAUGUCUACUAGUUGUCGGGUCUUAAUUGACUUGGUAACGCAGCUAACGCGUGAAGUAGACCGCCUGGGGAGUACGGUCGCAAGAUUAAAACUCAAAGGAAUUGACGGGGACCCGCACAAGCGGUGGAUGAUGUGGAUUAAUUCGAUGCAACGCGAAAAACCUUACCUACCCUUGACAUGGCUGGAAUCCUUGAGAGAUCAGGGAGUGCUCGAAAGAGAACCAGUACACAGGUGCUGCAUGGCUGUCGUCAGCUCGUGUCGUGAGAUGUUGGGUUAAGUCCCGCAACGAGCGCAACCCUUGUCAUUAGUUGCUACGAAAGGGCACUCUAAUGAGACUGCCGGUGACAAACCGGAGGAAGGUGGGGAUGACGUCAAGUCCUCAUGGCCCUUAUGGGUAGGGCUUCACACGUCAUACAAUGGUACAUACAGAGCGCCGCCAACCCGCGAGGGGGAGCUAAUCGCAGAAAGUGUAUCGUAGUCCGGAUUGUAGUCUGCAACUCGACUGCAUGAAGUUGGAAUCGCUAGUAAUCGCGGAUCAGCAUGUCGCGGUGAAUACGUUCCCGGGUC
This 1351-nucleotide ribosomal RNA is filed under the name uncultured bacterium. Its description in RNAcentral is "bacterial SSU rRNA". It matches the Rfam family "Bacterial small subunit ribosomal RNA", at positions 28 to 1380 of the family's 1533-position model. The record is from RNAcentral.